Molecule: long non-coding RNA, 1590 nt
Organism: Pseudophryne corroboree (corroboree frog)
Lineage: Eukaryota; Metazoa; Chordata; Amphibia; Anura; Myobatrachidae
Exons: 2
Source: RefSeq, a predicted model, not a curated record
GGGGUGGGUCGUGUUGGAGGGUCUGAAAUACUAGAAUCAAGUUGGAGAAAGAAACUCUAACGCAUACCUCCCAACGGGUGGUCUUCAGGUUGUCGGCGGCCGGCCUCCCGGCAACCACCAUACCGGCGCCGGAAUCCCAACCGCCGACAUACCGACAUCUUUUCUCCCUCUUGGGGGUCCACGACCCUCCUGGAGGGAGAAUAGAUAGCAUGGCGCGCCACCGUGCCCGCAAAGGGGUUCAUUUGCGCUCGCUCAGCUGUCGGUAUGCCGGCGGUCGGUAUGCCGGCGCCGGUAUGCUGGUCGCCGGCACCCCGACCGCCGGCAAAUCAUGCUACACCCCUCCCAACAUGAUCCUCUCCAAGAGGGGCACCAUGCUCUGCUUCUGGACUUUUCUCUUAAUGUAUGAUUGCUGGCACCUAAGUUGAACUAGUUAAUGGAUAAGAAAGGUGUUUCAGCACAGGUGAUGGCUAUCAAUUAAAAGGGAAGUCCAGGAGCAGAGCAUUUUCUCCCUCCUGGAGAGGGUCAUGUUGGGAGAUAUGCUAACGUCAGGAGGGGGAACCACGACAACAGGGGGAGGAGCUAGCCCAGCGGGAUAGCAUGUCUACUAUCCACGCCACCAACUACUCCCUUUAGGAACCCGGUGGCGAGCGAAGCUGAGCGAGCCACCGAACCCGAAGCGUGACGAGCAAGCAUUUUGGGUACCCUGUUCGUGCAUGGCUCCUCCCCUCGUGAUGUGGCUCCUCCCACUGGUGACUUUAGAUGUCCCUUCUCCAACUUGGUUUUCGAACUAACCAUGGACCCAAGUGGCCUCCUGGGGUAUGAACGGGCAGCAGAGGACCCUGUUCCAGACAAGGGGUGGUGGUGUGGUCCCUGAGCCUAGGAGAGCAAAGGAGGACUGCAAGAAAAGGGAGAGGUUACAGGUGCCAGGACCCCCGAGUCCCCCUUCCCCCUCAGCCCCCACCCCAACCCCCAGUCCUGCACCCAGAAGCCCCCCAGCAUGUGGUGUAGUAGGAUGAUGAUGUCAUGCUCGUGGCUGUCUAUGAGGCUAGGAGAACCUUCCAUCUGUCUGUUACCCUGAUAGUCACCAUACCCAAGGCCUGCCUGUGCCCCCGGGCAGCUGCAGUGACCUUCCCUGCCUGCCCUCCCCCUGAGGCCACUCAUGACCAGAAUUUACCAGGCUUUGAUCUGUCUGCUGGCAACAUAUGGAUUUACCCCACCAACUACCCAGUGCGGGGGUACCAGCUCAGCAUGCCCUGUGGCACAACACUUUGGUCUGUCUGCCCAUGGACUAGGGCAAGACGUUUAUCGCUGCUGUGGUUAUGUAUAACUUAGUGGUGACCAUCUGGAAGAGUUGUCUUUAUGGCCCCUACCAAGCCACUGGUGGCACAGCAGAUAGAAUCCUGUUUUCGGGUCAUGGGGAUCCCUCAAAGUCACAUGAUGGAGCUACAGAUGCUACAGACGAGUCAUUGAUUGGGAAACUCUUCAAAAAGGAUGAUCCAGAGACAGCCGAUGAUGCGGAGGAAGAUUAUUAUUUUUCAGAUGCCUUUUUUUUAUUUUAUUUUUAAAUAAACCCUGUAAAUACAAAUUAUA